RNAcentral lists this long non-coding RNA (352 nucleotides) under Brassica napus (rape). RNAcentral describes it as "long non-coding RNA (BNAP_LNC024043)". Lineage: Eukaryota; Viridiplantae; Streptophyta; Magnoliopsida; Brassicales; Brassicaceae. The record is from RNAcentral.
UCGACGAACGGAGUGUAAAUAGUUGUGGGAUUUUAUGGUCGCGUUCGGGUAGUUGUUUGCAGAGUUUCGAAUUUUUACUUGGAGACGUCUCACUGUUAUUUCGAAGACUAUACAUAUGUUUUGAAGGAUGAAGGCUUUGCGAUUUGGACCAGAUAAGGCCGUUUUGACGAGAGUUGUGAAUUUUUAUUUUUAAGCGUGUCCUGAGACUUUUUGCGUAGCGUAAGAAUUCGAAAAAAUGUGUUUUGUAGUAAAAGUUUUAAAAAACUUGAUUACAAUGAUGCAUCUUUAAAAAUGUGGGAGUAUACGAGUAUACUUACCCACUCCCCCUCCCCCCCAUUUUAGAGAGGGGGAU